This 253-nucleotide ribosomal RNA is filed under the name uncultured bacterium. Its description in RNAcentral is "partial 16S ribosomal RNA". It matches the Rfam family "Bacterial small subunit ribosomal RNA", at positions 524 to 776 of the family's 1533-position model. The record is from RNAcentral.
UACGGGGGGGGCAAGCGUUGUUCGGAAUUACUGGGCGUAAAGGGCGCGUAGGCGGCCUUCUAAGUCGAACGUGAAAUCCCCGGGCUCAACCCGGGAACUGCGUCCGAUACUGGAAGGCUUGAAUCCGGGAGAGGGAUGCGGAAUUCCAGGUGUAGCGGUGAAAUGCGUAGAUAUCUGGAGGAACACCGGUGGCGAAGGCGGCAUCCUGGACCGACACUGACGCUGAGGAGCGAAAGCCAGGGGAGCAAACGGG